This 253-nucleotide ribosomal RNA is filed under the name uncultured bacterium. Its description in RNAcentral is "partial 16S ribosomal RNA". It matches the Rfam family "Bacterial small subunit ribosomal RNA", at positions 524 to 776 of the family's 1533-position model. The record is from RNAcentral.
UACGUAGGGCGCAAGCGUUGUCCGGAAUUAUUGGGCGUAAAGAGCUCGUAGGCGGUUUGUCGCGUCUGCUGUGAAAACCUAAGGCUCAACCUUGGGCUUGCAGUGGGUACGGGCAGACUAGAGUGUGGUAGGGGAGACUGGAAUUCCUGGUGUAGCGGUGAAAUGCGCAGAUAUCAGGAGGAACACCGGUGGCGAAGGCGGGUCUCUGGGCCGAUACUGACACUGAGGAGCGAAAGCGUGGGGAGCGAACAGG